Molecule: RNA transcript, 2535 nt
Organism: Cervus elaphus (red deer)
Lineage: Eukaryota; Metazoa; Chordata; Mammalia; Artiodactyla; Cervidae
Gene: GALNT11
Gene name: polypeptide N-acetylgalactosaminyltransferase 11
Exons: 13
Source: RefSeq, a predicted model, not a curated record
GCUCGGGCCGAGGCUGCGGCGCGGGCACGGGUUGAGCCCGAGGUGGGGGCGGGGGGAAGAAGCCCCUGUGUGCCCGGGGCUGCGUUUCCUGCCAGGCGGCUCCACCCGCUGCGGCGGCGAAUGCGGCUCGGAGUCGGGCCGCGGCGGGAGGGAGGAUGCUCCGGCCCGAGUCCCGAGAGGCCGGGGUGCUGCGCUGACGGCGUCGGGGAAAUUGAAAAUGGCCCUUCAGCAAUGCUAGGUCUAUAAUGGGAAGUGUCACAGUUCGAUAUUUCUGUUAUGGAUGCCUUUUUACAUCUGCAGCCUGGACACUUUUGCUUUUUAUUUAUUUCAACUUCAGUGAAGUGACUCAGCCACUUAAGAAUGUGCCCAUCAAGGGGUCUGGGCCCCAUGGACCAUUCCCCAAAAAAUUUUAUCCCCGUUUCACUAGAGGCCCAAGUCAAGUAUUAGAAUCACAGUUCAAAGCAAACAAAAUUGAUGAUGUGAUAGAUAAUCACGUUGAAGAUCCAGAAAGAGGCAAUGUGAAAUUCUCUUCUGAAUUGGGUAUGAUUUUUAAUGAACGAGAUCAGGAGUUGAGAGACUUGGGGUAUCAGAAACAUGCCUUCAAUAUGCUGAUUAGUAACCGCUUGGGCUACCACAGAGACGUGCCAGAUACGAGGAAUGCGGCAUGUAAAGACAAGUCUUACCCGGCGGAUCUGCCAGUUGCUAGUGUUGUUAUCUGUUUCUACAAUGAAGCUUUGUCUGCCUUGCUGCGGACGGUGCACAGUGUCCUGGACCGCACGCCCGCCCGGCUUCUUCAUGAAGUCAUCCUCGUGGAUGAUGACAGUGACUUCGAUGAUUUGAAAGGAGAACUAGAUGAAUACAUACAAAAAUACCUCCCUGGAAAAAUCAAAGUGAUAAGAAAUCCAAAGCGCGAGGGCUUGAUUCGAGGAAGAAUGAUUGGAGCGGCCCACGCCACAGGAGAAGUCCUGGUGUUCCUGGACAGCCACUGCGAGGUGAACGUGCUGUGGCUGCAGCCCUUGCUGGCCGCCAUCCGGGAGGACCGGCGGACGGUGGUGUGCCCGGUGAUUGACAUCAUCAGCGCCGACACACUGGCCUACAGCUCGUCCCCUGUGGUGCGGGGGGGCUUCAACUGGGGGCUGCACUUCAAGUGGGAUCUCGUCCCGCUCUCCGAGCUCGGGGGACCGGAGGGAGCGACUGCACCAAUAAGGUCACCUACGAUGGCUGGAGGAUUGUUUGCCAUGAACAGAGACUAUUUCAAUGAACUUGGACAGUAUGACAGUGGCAUGGAUAUCUGGGGAGGAGAAAAUUUAGAAAUAUCUUUUCGGAUCUGGAUGUGUGGAGGUAAGCUGUUCAUCAUCCCCUGCUCUAGAGUUGGACACAUUUUCCGGAAAAGGCGGCCGUAUGGGUCCCCCGAGGGCCAGGACACUAUGACGCACAACUCCCUGCGGCUGGCACACGUGUGGCUGGACGAAUACAAGGAGCAGUAUUUUUCUUUAAGACCUGAUCUGAGAACCAGAAAUUAUGGAAACAUCAGUGAGCGUGUUGAAUUGAGGAAGAAGUUGGAUUGUAAAUCAUUUAAAUGGUAUUUGGAUAACAUUUACCCGGAGAUGCAGAUAUCUGGGCCCAACGUCAAACCCCAGCAACCCAUUUUUAUCAACAGAGGGCCAAAGCGCCCCAAAGUCCUUCAGCGCGGAAGGCUCUACCACCUUCAGACCAACAAGUGUCUGGUGGCCCAGGGCCGCCCGAGCGAGAAGGGAGGCCUCGUAGUGCUCAAGGCAUGUGACUACAGUGACCCAAACCAGGUUUGGAUUUACAAUGAAGAACAUGAGUUGGUCUUAAAUAAUCUCCUUUGCCUGGAUAUGUCAGAAACUCGCUCAUCUGACCCCCCGCGACUCAUGAAGUGCCAUGGGUCCGGAGGCUCCCAGCAGUGGACCUUUGGGAGGAAUAACCGGCUGUACCAGGCGUCAGCGGGCCGGUGCCUCAGACCAGCUGAUCCACGGAGUCGCAAAGGCUCUGUUGCCAUGGCGAUCUGUGAUGGCUCCUCCUCACAGCAGUGGCAUUUGGAAUCUUAAGGCGGACGCUGUGGUCGGAACGUGACUGUCCAGCUCAUCCCCACCACGGAGCUGAAGAAGUGUGCUUCCCCAGGAGGUUGAAGUCAUUUCUGGACUGCUGUUAAGGAAUUUCUUCCUUAUGGUGUGACUCCGAGGUGACAAAGCAGGGCAUACAAAAACCAUCUGCAUGGAGAUGAGUACAGUUCAGUGUAAGAGACCAGAAGAUCACUGGAAAUGAACCGAGAAUCCAAGCAGCCAGGCACACGCGAACACUUCGUGAAGUAACUUGGUGGUACUGAAAUUCAGUUUUAUAUGGAUGGGUUAUAUAUUACUAAAUGGUGCUCCCACAACUGGUUACUCAACAGGAAAAAAAAAAAAGUCUUAAAACACAAAAAAUAAAAUCACUGAAACAAAAAGAAUCUAAUAAACUACAUAUGCAAUCUACAGUCUUAACCAAAAAUAGAAACUAUAGAAAAUUAUAUGU